RNAcentral lists this ribosomal RNA (493 nucleotides) under Bacillus anthracis (anthrax bacterium). RNAcentral describes it as "bacterial SSU rRNA". It matches the Rfam family "Bacterial small subunit ribosomal RNA", at positions 924 to 1374 of the family's 1533-position model. The record is from RNAcentral. Lineage: Bacteria; Bacillati; Bacillota; Bacilli; Caryophanales; Bacillaceae.
ACCGAUCUUUUUUUUUUUCGCCACGGUGGGCAGUGGUUUAUUCGAAGCAACGCGAAGAACCUUACCAGGUCUUGACAUCCUCUGACAACCCUAGAGAUAGGGCUUCUCCUUCGGGAGCAGAGUGACAGGUGGUGCAUGGUUGUCGUCAGCUCGUGUCGUGAGAUGUUGGGUUAAGUCCCGCAACGAGCGCAACCCUUGAUCUUAGUUGCCAUCAUUAAGUUGGGCACUCUAAGGUGACUGCCGGUGACAAACCGGAGGAAGGUGGGGAUGACGUCAAAUCAUCAUGCCCCUUAUGACCUGGGCUACACACGUGCUACAAUGGACGGUACAAAGAGCUGCAAGACCGCGAGGUGGAGCUAAUCUCAUAAAACCGUUCUCAGUUCGGAUUGUAGGCUGCAACUCGCCUACAUGAAGCUGGAAUCGCUAGUAAUCGCGGAUCAGCAUGCCGCGGUGAAUACGUUCCCGGGCCUUGUACACACCGCCCCAUUAAAAA